This 81-nucleotide ribosomal RNA is filed under the name Polytomella magna. RNAcentral's name for it is "mtLSU-2 from Polytomella magna (PDB 8APN, chain A2)". The record is from RNAcentral. Lineage: Eukaryota; Viridiplantae; Chlorophyta; Chlorophyceae; Chlamydomonadales; Chlamydomonadaceae.
AAUAAAUAAGUUUAAUACCUUUUGCAGCAUGGACCAGCGAUUAAAUGCCGGUAAUUAGCAAAGUUAAACUAACGAAAAAUA